RNAcentral lists this long non-coding RNA (261 nucleotides) under Zalophus californianus (California sea lion). RNAcentral describes it as "lncRNA (ENSZCAG00015016960.1)". The record is from RNAcentral. Lineage: Eukaryota; Metazoa; Chordata; Mammalia; Carnivora; Otariidae.
GAAGACACCUGAAAAGAUGUCUCCCGUCACAAUCUUCACGACAAGUCAUACAUGUUAGGCCAGUCUGAAGGCAAGGUGCCAAUUGUGUCAGUGGGCUGGUUUCUGCCUCUUGGCCUCAAGAUUCAUGUUCCUAAAUGAAGUAAAAAGGAUCAAGUGACCCAUGACCAUGGAAAUCAUCUCGGGCCAACCAACUUUGGCUCCAUCAGGAGACUAUAACCCACAGAAGAAUUUCUGUCACUCAUUGUUCUGUGCUGGGGCAAC